UUCCUUAUUUCAAGAGAGGCCGAAAAGUUUGAAUUUUCCAUUAAAAGACACCCAAGCACAGGAAACCCAGUAAUGGUCUUAGAGAUCCAAAACAGAUACUUUCAGCUUUUAAUGGUUUUAAGUGUAUCCUGAAGGAUUUAUAUGCAAUAGUGCAACCACAUUUUCUAUAUUCAACAGGUAUGCGUGAAAAUAAAAUAGAGUUUCCUGACAUAGAUUCGACAAUAAUUGUUCUAACAAAUUUUUUAUUAGAACGUCUUCAAUGCUUUCCUUAUGAUAGCUGUUGCUUGCCCACAUUUCUUCAUUUGACAAGCGUAGACACUUUUUCAAAUUAAUCGGGUAAUAGGAAGAGCGGAAAAAAAGGGUCAAAAGAUUCCCUAAUAAGGCACUAAAAGUACUUCAAAA
This is a long non-coding RNA of Lycium ferocissimum, 402 nucleotides long. RefSeq lists it as uncharacterized. The record is from RefSeq and is a predicted model, not a curated record. NCBI's taxonomy places the organism in Eukaryota, Viridiplantae, Streptophyta, Magnoliopsida, Solanales, Solanaceae. The transcript is spliced from 2 exons.